GUGUGUUUUGUUACGGGCGUAUGGUGGAUGCCUUGGCAUGCUGAGCCGAUGAAGGACGUGUGAGGCUGCGUUAUGCCUCGGGGAGUUGCCAUCAAAGCGUUGAUCCGAGGAUGUCCGAAUGGGGAAACCCAGCACCAGUUGUGUGGUGUUACCUGCAGGUGAAUUCAUAGUCUGUGUGGGGGUUGACGCGGGGAAGUGAAACAUCUCAGUACCCGUAGGAGAAGAAAACAAUUGUGAUUCCGUGUGUAGUGGCGAGCGAUAGCGGAUGAGGCUAAACCGUGUGCGUGUGAUACCUGGCAGGGGUUGCGUGUGCGGUGUUGUGGGGCGUAGGCGUUUGCAGGCUGUCAACUGUGAGCAUGAUUUGCGCGUGUCAGUGGAAGCAUCUGGGAUGGUGCGCCGGAGAGGGUGAUCAGUCCCGUACGUGAAGGCAUGUGUGGUUGUGUGGUCUAUGUUUUUCCCCGAGUAGCAGCGGGCUCGUGGAAUCUGCUGUGAAUCUGCCGGGACCACCCGGUAAGCCUAAAUACUCAGUGUGACCGAUAGUGGAUUUUAGUACCGUGAGGGAAUGGUGAAAAGUACCCCGGGAGGGGAGUGAAAGAGUUCCUGAAACCAUGCGCUUACAAUCCGUCAGAGCACCU
This is a ribosomal RNA of 635 nucleotides. It matches the Rfam family "Bacterial large subunit ribosomal RNA", at positions 1 to 584 of the family's 2925-position model.